RNAcentral lists this ribosomal RNA (253 nucleotides) under uncultured bacterium. RNAcentral's name for it is "partial 16S ribosomal RNA". It matches the Rfam family "Bacterial small subunit ribosomal RNA", at positions 524 to 776 of the family's 1533-position model. The record is from RNAcentral.
UACGAAGGGGGCUAGCGUUGUUCGGAAUCACUGGGCGUAAAGCGCACGCAAGCGGAUCGAUAAGUCGGGGGUGAAAGCCCGGGGCGCAACCUCGGAAUUGCCUUCGAUAAUGUCGGUCUCGAGUGCGGGAGAGGUGAGUGGAAUUCCUAGUGUAGAGGUGAAAUUCGUAGAUAUUAGGAAGAACACCAGUGGCGAAGGCGGCUCACUGGCCCGGUACUGGCGCUCAGGUGCGAAAGCGUGGGGAGCAAACAGG